GAUGAAGAACGCAGUGAAAUGCGAUAAGUAAUGUGAAUUGCAGAAUUCAGUGAAUCAUCGAAUCUUUGAACGCACAUUGCGCCCCUUGGUAUUCCGGGGGGCAUGCCUGUUCGAGCGUCAUUAUAACCCUCAAGCUCAGCUUGGUGUUGGGGCCUGCUGCACUGGCAGCCCUUAAAAUCAGUGGCGGCGCCAUCUGGCUCUAAGCGUAGUAAUUCUUCUCGCUAUGGAGUCCUGGUGGAUGCUUGCCAUCAACCCCCAAUUUUUCUAUGGUUGACCUCGGAUCAGGUAGGGAUACCCGCUGAACUUAAGCAUAUCAAUAAGCGGAGGA
Molecule: unclassified non-coding RNA, 328 nt
Filed under: soil metagenome
Description: partial contains 5.8S ribosomal RNA, internal transcribed spacer 2, and large subunit ribosomal RNA
Rfam family: 5.8S ribosomal RNA (bases 1-120)
Source: RNAcentral